This 301-nucleotide ribosomal RNA is filed under the name uncultured bacterium. RNAcentral's name for it is "partial 16S ribosomal RNA". It matches the Rfam family "Bacterial small subunit ribosomal RNA", at positions 509 to 809 of the family's 1533-position model. The record is from RNAcentral.
CAGUAGCCGCGGUAAUACGUAGGUGGCAAGCGUUGUCCGGAAUUAUUGGGCGUAAAGGGCUCGCAGGCGGCUUCUUAAGUCUGAUGUGAAAGCCCCCGGCUCAACCGGGGAGGGUCAUUGGAAACUGGGAAACUUGAGUGCAGAAGAGGAGAGUGGAAUCCCACGUGUAGCGGUGAAAUGCGUAGAGAUGUGGAGGAACACCAGUGGCGAAGGCGACUCUCUGGUCUGUAACUGACGCUGAGGAGCGAAAGCGUGGGGAGCGAACAGGAUUAGAUACCCCAGUAGUCCCUGUCUCUUAUAA